RNAcentral lists this ribosomal RNA (1341 nucleotides) under uncultured bacterium. RNAcentral describes it as "partial 16S ribosomal RNA". It matches the Rfam family "Bacterial small subunit ribosomal RNA", at positions 28 to 1381 of the family's 1533-position model. The record is from RNAcentral.
GACGAACGCUGGCGGCGUGCUUAACACAUGCAAGUCGAACGGUAAGGCUCCAGCUUGCUGGGGUACACGAGUGGCGAACGGGUGAGUAACACGUGGGUGACCUGCCCUGCACUUCGGGAUAAGCCUGGGAAACUGGGUCUAAUACCGGAUAGGACCGCACCGUGAGGGUGUGGUGGAAAGUUUUUUCGGUGUGGGAUGGGCCCGCGGCCUAUCAGCUUGUUGGUGGGGUAAUGGCCUACCAAGGCGGCGACGGGUAGCCGGCCUGAGAGGGUGGACGGCCACAUUGGGACUGAGACACGGCCCAGACUCCUACGGGAGGCAGCAGUGGGGAAUAUUGCACAAUGGGCGGAAGCCUGAUGCAGCGACGCCGCGUGGGGGAUGACGGCCUUCGGGUUGUAAACUCCUUUCACCAUCGACGAAGGGUUUCUGACGGUAGAUGGAGAAGAAGCACCGGCUAACUACGUGCCAGCAGCCGCGGUAAUACGUAGGGUGCGAGCGUUGUCCGGAAUUACUGGGCGUAAAGAGCUCGUAGGUGGUUUGUCGCGUCGUCUGUGAAAUUCCGGGGCUUAACUCCGGGCGUGCAGGCGAUACGGGCAUAACUUGAGUACUGUAGGGGAGACUGGAAUUCCUGGUGUAGCGGUGAAAUGCGCAGAUAUCAGGAGGAACACCGGUGGCGAAGGCGGGUCUCUGGGCAGUAACUGACGCUGAGGAGCGAAAGCAUGGGGAGCGAACAGGAUUAGAUACCCUGGUAGUCCAUGCCGUAAACGGUGGGCGCUAGGUGUGGGUUUCCUUCCACGGGAUCCGUGCCGUAGCAAACGCAUUAAGCGCCCCGCCUGGGGAGUACGGCCGCAAGGCUAAAACUCAAAGGAAUUGACGGGGGCCCGCACAAGCGGCGGAGCAUGUGGAUUAAUUCGAUGCAACGCGAAGAACCUUACCUGGGCUUGACAUAUACAGGAUCGCGCCAGAGAUGGUGUUUCCCUUGUGGCUUGUAUACAGGUGGUGCAUGGUUGUCGUCAGCUCGUGUCGUGAGAUGUUGGGUUAAGUCCCGCAACGAGCGCAACCCUUGUCUUAUGUUGCCAGCACGUUGUGGUGGGGACUCGUAAGAAACUGCCGGGGUUAACUCGGAGGAAGGUGGGGAUGACGUCAAAUCAUCAUGCCCCUUAUGUCCAGGGCUUCACACAUGCUACAAUGGUCGGUACAGUGGGUUGCCAGUCCGUGAGGGCGAGCUAAUCCCGCAAAGCCGGUCUCAGUUCGGAUCGGGGUCUGCAACUCGACCCCGUGAAGUCGGAGUCGCUAGUAAUCGCAGAUCAGCAACGCUGCGGUGAAUACGUUCCCGGGCCU